AGAGUUUGAUCAUGGCUCAGGACGAACGCUGGCGGCGUGCUUAACACAUGCAAGUCGAGCGGUAAGGCCCUUCGGGGUACACGAGCGGCGAACGGGUGAGUAACACGUGAGCAAUCUGCCCAUCACUUCGGGAUAACUCCGGGAAACCGGUGCUAAUACCGAAUAUGACCACUUCAGGCAUCUGACGGUGGUGGAAAGUUCCGGCGGUGAUGGAUGAGCUCGCGGCCUAUCAGCUUGUUGGUGGGGUAACGGCCCACCAAGGCUUCGACGGGUAGCCGGCCUGAGAGGGUGACCGGCCACACUGGGACUGAGACACGGCCCAGACUCCUACGGGAGGCAGCAGUGGGGAAUAUUGGACAAUGGGCGAAAGCCUGAUCCAGCAACGCCGCGUGAGGGAUGACGGCCUUCGGGUUGUAAACCUCUUUCAGCAGGGACGAAGCGCAAGUGACGGUACCUGCAGAAGAAGCACCGGCCAACUACGUGCCAGCAGCCGCGGUAAUACGUAGGGUGCGAGCGUUGUCCGGAAUUAUUGGGCGUAAAGGGCUCGUAGGCGGUCUGUCGCGUCGGGAGUGAAAACUCAGGGCUUAACCCUGAGCCUGCUUCCGAUACGGGCAGACUAGAGGUAUGCAGGGGAGAACGGAAUUCCUGGUGUAGCGGUGAAAUGCGCAGAUAUCAGGAGGAACACCGGUGGCGAAGGCGGUUCUCUGGGCAUUACCUGACGCUGAGGAGCGAAAGUGUGGGGAGCGAACAGGAUUAGAUACCCUGGUAGUCCACACCGUAAACGUUGGGCGCUAGGUGUGGGACUCAUUCCACGAGUUCCGUGCCGCAGCUAACGCAUUAAGCGCCCCGCCUGGGGAGUACGGCCGCAAGGCUAAAACUCAAAGGAAUUGACGG
RNAcentral lists this ribosomal RNA (894 nucleotides) under uncultured bacterium. Its description in RNAcentral is "bacterial SSU rRNA". It matches the Rfam family "Bacterial small subunit ribosomal RNA", at positions 8 to 916 of the family's 1533-position model. The record is from RNAcentral.